CUCACUGCACCAUUAUGUGUCCUCCAACUGACCAUCUCAAUGUUUCUGAUCGCACAGCAUGAUCCAUCCAGUAGAUAAAAAGUGCCUUCUCUGUUCUCUAGGAAGUCAAAUUGCUUCUCUCUAUAACAUACAUGAUAGGUACAUGUAGAAUCUAAAAUCCACUACUGGAAAAAAGUAGAUACCUUGUCAGAUAUCUUAAGGAUAUCUCCCUCUGAAUCGCUACUGACCGUCGCUACAGCAGCCAUCGUCUAAUCCCUG
RNAcentral lists this long non-coding RNA (258 nucleotides) under Elaeis guineensis (African oil palm). Its description in RNAcentral is "long non-coding RNA (EGUI_LNC013645)". Lineage: Eukaryota; Viridiplantae; Streptophyta; Magnoliopsida; Arecales; Arecaceae. The record is from RNAcentral.